This 5855-nucleotide long non-coding RNA is filed under the name Homo sapiens (human). Its description in RNAcentral is "HSALNT0290781". The record is from RNAcentral. Lineage: Eukaryota; Metazoa; Chordata; Mammalia; Primates; Hominidae.
ACCCGCCGCGCCGACGCCGCCACCGGCUGCGCACCUGCCGCGCUUGCUGCGGGGAAGCCAGGCUCUGCUGUGGCGGCGGCGGCGGCGGCGGCGGCUGGCGGGGAGGAGACGCGGACUCCCACUCGCGGCCCUAUCGCUUGCUCCCCGCCUCCCCGCCAGAGCUGCGCCACCAGGCUCUGGGCGCGCUCCCAUGAUCGGAAGGCUGAGAGCCGUCUCCCAGCUCCACCCUUGACUUCUGAACCUCAGUUGCUGCUUCUGUCAAAUGGGAGCACGUCCACCUACCAGUGCUAGACUGGAGAGAUCAGGAAAGGGGUGCUAAAGUUACAAACUGUAAAGGGCUGUAGCGAUCACCAAGGCAUCGGAAGGAAACUGGCCAAGAAAGGCAAGUCUCUUAGCUUUGCUGGGCCUCGGUUUCCUUAUCUGUAACAUGGGAAUGAGUAACCCUUCCUCAUAAGCAGAUGAUGCUCGUGACGUGGAUGGAACGCAGAGCAGGACAAGGGCAGUGGCUGCCGUGGGGUCAUUAUUACUGUUGCUGUUAGCCCAGGCCAGAAUCUGCAUUCCCUCUUCUUACUUGGAUACCCCGGUUUUCCCUGGUUCUCAGCACACGUUUAGGAAAUGGGGGGCUUGGAUCACAAAAGGAUUUUCAGGGUCAGGGGCUUGCCCAAGACUGGGGAUUGGCUCCAUCCCUAACUCUCUGAACCAAGCUUUCCAUCUGUAAAAUGGGGUUGACAACAACUUCCCUGAAACCCACAGACAUAUAAAGACCAAUGAGAAACUCAGAAACACCUGGUAAACUGCGAAGUACUACCCACAUGCAAAGACUGUAAUUAUUUCUUCCAGGUGCCUCUUUGCCCUAAAGAGUCAAGGAUGAGUCAAGAACCAAAUGAGAUGAGCCAGGAGGAUCCCUGUGAGAAGGGCCGGAUGGCAUUCCCCUUUACCCAUGGAGCUCACUGCAGUGUGCAGCGAUGGCCCAAGGGUGGAGAGGAAGGUCAGGCUGGGUCCUGCCCUUGGGGGCUCAUGUCCCAGUUAGCCCACGACGCAAAGGCCCAGGUGUGAUGGGAGCACAGAAGAGGGGGGAAGCCGACUCUCUGGGCAAGGGGGAUCAGGCUGGUACAGGGGGUACUUCCCAGAGGAGUCAGCCUUGACGGGACUCUCUGAAAAAUGGUUGUAGCUCAGGUGGGGAGAGGGGCAAGGCACGUGCUGGACAGAGACGGAUUCCAGCAGAAAAGUCCAGAGACAAGAAAGGGGGUAGUGUGCUCAGGAAAAGGGCGUGAAACGUGACUGAAAUGCAGGAUGGGGAGAGGAAAUGGAUUCAAGAUAAAGUCAAAUUGGAGCCGGGCAUGGUGGUGCACGCCUGUAAUCCCAGCUACUUGGGAGGCUGAGGCAGAAGAAUCACUUGAACCCCAGAGGCAGAAUUUGCAGUGAGCCAAGAUCACACCACUGCACUCCAGCCUGGGUGACAGAGUGAGACUCUGUCUCAAAAAAAAAAUUUAAAAAAAAAAAAAGAUGAAGUCGAAUUGGGAAUGGCCUCCAGUUACCACCCUAGGAAGCUCAGACUUUAUCCUGAGGUUGACAGGGAGCCACGCAGGGUUUGCAGCAGGAGUGACAUGGUCAGUUGUGGGUUCUAGAAAGAUCUCUGUGGUAGGCUGGGCAUGGUGGCUCACACUUGUAAUCCCAGCACCUUGGGAGGCCAAGGCAGGUGGAUCACUUGAGGUCAGGAAUUCAAGACCAGCCUAGCCAACAUAGUGAAACCCCGUCUCUACUAAAAAUACAAAAAUUAGCCAGGUGUGGGGGUACGUGUCUAUAGUCCUAGCUACUUGGGAGGCUGAGGCAGGAGAAUUGCUUGGACCCGCGAAGCGGAGGUUGCCGUGAGCCGAGAUUGCACCACUACACUCCAGCCUGGCCAACAGAGUGAGACUCCAUCUCAAAAAAAAAAAAAAUCUCCAUAAUAGGUAUGGAGGAUGGACAAAGGGGGAGGAAAGGGAGGACAGAUUCAAGUUGUUGUGGUGAGCUGAAGGAGGCCUGAACCAAGGUAAUGGCAAUGGGGUGGGGUGGGGGGGAGUUGGGCAAGAACUUUCUGAAACUGAACAGCAGUAGAUCCAGGAGAACAAUUAGAGGGAGAGACACAAAAUAAAGGUGACAGAAUUUCCUGUAUCAGGAGCUGAGGUAGAUGAUGACAGCAUUAACCCAGGAAGGUGGCAGGCAGAGCGAGGUCACCUUUGAGGUACCUCCCAGAUGUCCAUUUCCUCAAGAACUGACUGCACUACACACCCAGAUAUAGGACUAGAUAAGACCCAAGAUCAUCGAGGGAGAGGCAAGAGAGAGAGAAUAUUAGGAAUCUUUUGGUCGUAAGUGACAGAAACUCAGUUCAAAUUAGGUUAUGGAAAACAAAACAAAAAGAAAAACGAUACUACAAACGUAGUGGCCCCUUUAUCUUAGAGUUUCAAGGGUGAGUCAAACUUCGGGCAUUGCUGGAUCCAGGGUUUCCAGUGAUGACAUUGGGUUAUCUCCCCAUCACACCCAUCAGUCAGUUCUGUUUGUCUCUGCCUUUCUUUAAGAAUGGGGCUUCUCGGCCGGGCAUGGUGGCUCAAGCCUGUAAUCCCAGCACUUCGUGAGGCUGAGCCAAGCGGAUCACUUGAGGUCAGGAGUUCAAGACCAGCCUGGCCAGCAUGGUGAAACCCUGACUCUACUAAAAAUACAAAAAUUAGCCAGGUGUGGUGGUGAGUGCCUAUAAUCCCAGCUACUUGGGAGGCUGAGGCAGGAGAAUUGCUUGAACCCGGGAGGCGGAGGCUGUAGUGAGCCAAGAUCGCACCACCACACUCCAGCAUGGGUGACAGAGUGAGACUCUGUCUCAAACAAAAAAAAAAAAAAAAAAAGAAUGGGCCUUCUCUCCCAUGGCAGAUAGGCAUUCUCCAGUCCCAGGAAAGAUGCUCAAAUGUUUACAUCCUACCAGCUCUCAUUUCAGGAGAGAGCCAAGCUUCGCCACUGGCUCCAUCGAAAGUUCCAGGGAGGGCUCUGAUUGGCUCAGCUUGUAUCACAUGCCCAGGCCCAAACCAAUCACUGUAUAUCAAGGAAAAUGGGACACUGUAAUUGGCCUACUUGCCUUCCCAGUGGGUGGGGCCCUGUGAGGGAUACCUGACCAGAGCACAUGGACAGGAAAUGAGAAGAUUGGAAAAAUAUGCCGGGCAGACAAAAGAGGUUCCAGCCCUGCCUCAGUUUACAAUGAGGCUUGAGGGCAGAACCCUGGGGAACACUAAUAUUCAAGGGUUGGCUGGAACUUGGGAAGGAGACUGAGGGGUAUGAGAGAGGUUCUGGGAGAAGCAGCGUCUUCGAGGGAGGAGAGAAGUUCUACAAGGAGGUAAUGGUCAAAGGCAAAUUCUGGAAGGGGUCACUCACACUCACUGUUCUGGGCUCCAACCACCCACCCUCACCUGACAUGGAAAGGCUCUGGGACCCGGUUUCACCAACACUGAUUAUGCCACCUCCCCCAGCAGAGUCUGUUUGCUUAUCUGUGAAAUGGGGGCAAUGACAGAACACCCACCCCAUAGGGUGACAGAGAAGGCUGAGUGAGAGACACUGAGAAAUGCUUACCCCGGUGCAAUGUAGCACCACUCAGGCACCAUUCAUUCAUUUAUUCAUUUAUUCAUUCAUUCAUUCACUCACUCAUUGAACAAUCUUUAACUGAGUGCCUCCUUUGUAUCAGUCCCUAUGCCAAACACAGUGGAUGUAAAGAAGACACAGGGAUCUGAGGAUGCGUGGGAUACAGACCUGAUGGUGGAUGGUUAUGAUACAGGGUGAUAAGUGCUGAAGGGACUGGGUUUUGCAAGCCCAGAGAAAUUUGGUCCACAUGGAGGCCCCAGGGCAGCCCCCUGAGGAGACAACAUUUGAGAUGACAUUUCAUGAGCACUCACCAUGGGUCAGGCACUGGGUGUGCCAAGCGUUUCCACGUUGUUCCUGUGACGUCGGGGAGGGGAUGGGGCCCAGAGAGGGUGGGAGGCUUACUCAGGGUCACCGUGCUCGUAAGUGGGGACACCAGGGCUGGCCCACCUCCACUGGAUGAGUUUGCCAGAUGGGGAGAGAGGAGAGACAGGAUGUCAGGCAGAGGGCAAAAGACAAUGUGACCCAAUCCUCUAGGAUGGGGAGAGGAAGCUGGGAUUCCCAUAGGGAAAGCCCAUAUCUGUAGAAGGGUGGGCCAGAGGCAGUAGGACAAGGGCAAGGUGAGAGCCAUGACCUCCAGCAAGUCCUGUGCCUCCUGGAACCUCCGUCUCCUCCUCUAUGAACUCAGGAUAAGGACAUCUAUUAUAUUAUCUUCAUCUCCAUUUUACAGGUGAGAAACAGAUUAGAUCAAGGCUAUCCAGUUGCAGAGCCCACGAGCUGAGCCAUGCACUGUGGUUCUGCUGGAGCAGAUGAGAUGUAUGAGUUCCCUGCAAACCCUCCUGUUUGUCUCAAGAGUGGGAGCCAUGAAAAGCACCCCAAGAGUAGGGGGGAGACUUCAUGGGAGCAGCCCUCAGAGAGACCCAGAAGAUGCUCCUGUGCUCCUACCCAGAAAUUCAGUCUCUUAAGGACCUUAGAGACAGUUUCAUUCAUGCAUUAGUGAGGAGCGAUGCCUACAACUUGCAAAUGGAGAAACUGAGUUCAGAAAGGAGGGAGUGACUUGUCCAAGGUCACACCACAAGCUGGUGGUAGAAAUCCCUCCAGAAUGCAGGCAUCCCAACAUCUGGUUUUGUCCAUUUCUCCAUUCCCCUGACUCCUCACAAAUGACUUGUCCCCUUGUCCCCAGCAUGGUGAUCUCUACCGGUCCUGAGCAUUUAAUAUGGGCCAGACUCUUCGCCUUACUCUGACUCUCCAAGCCACCCUAUGAAGUGGUAUCCAAAGGCAACUUACUUACUUAAAUACAUGGCUUAUUGAUAGUAUGUUACAAAACACAUAAAAUAAUAAUUGAUGUAUCUGCAUUUCAUGACCACCCUAUAAAUUGCACAAUUCCUAUUUUACAGAUGAGAAAAUUAAGGCUCAGAGAUGGGAAAAGACUGUCUCAGGGACACACAGCGAGCAAGCAACAGGGUGAGGAUUAGUAUCCAGGCAUCUCUGACUCCAAAGCAGGGGUGUCUUGUCCACACCCCAAGCUGCUGUCAGGGAACAGAUGGGAGAGCCUGCAAGGGGAGGUGAGAGGAAGGUGCUGAGCCCCAGUCAUGAGCGAGGUGACAGUUAUUGUAGUGGCUAAACAGGUGGCCCCUGAGAUCAGGCUGCCUGGGCUGGAAUCCUGGUCUACCACUCCUUAGCACUGUGCGUUCAGGCAAACCAUUGGUCCGCUCUGAGCCUUGACUUCCUUAUCUGUAAAAUGGGCGUGGUAAUAAUAUGCCACCCUCAUUAGGUUCCUGGAAGGGUUAAAUGAGUGUGUAGCCCAUGGUACAUGCAAUGGAAGUGCUGCCUCUUAUUUGUGUGGCAUUCUGCAGUGACUGUCUCGUGUACUCUCAAUAGUGCUUAUAACUCUUACGGGUUCUGGAGCUAGCCACCUGGCCUCUGCUACCACUUCCUAGCAGGGCGGCAGAGCUUAGAGGGAGAUUUAAGGUGAGGAUGGUGAGGUUUAAGUCCUGGGUCCCUCAUUGGCAUGGCCUUGUACUUCAUUAUUUAAAGAGACCCCCCCGCCCUCAGUAUUGUAUAACCUUUACUGACAUCCUGCCAAGCCUGGAUCUGCCCCUGUGUGAGGAACUCUACCUCUCUGUGUGCCUCAGUUUUCUCAUCUGUUAAGUGGGAAGAAUGUUAAUUGUGCCAAAUAAAUGAAUUAAUACGUGUAGAAUGCUUUAAAAGUGCCUGGUGCAUAGUAAAUGCCCAAUACCUAUUGGCUUCUUAAGUAA